Molecule: transfer RNA, 98 nt
Filed under: Echria macrotheca
Lineage: Eukaryota; Fungi; Ascomycota; Sordariomycetes; Sordariales; Schizotheciaceae
Description: tRNA-Ser
Rfam family: tRNA
About the family: Transfer RNA (tRNA) molecules are approximately 80 nucleotides in length. Their secondary structure includes four short double-helical elements and three loops (D, anti-codon, and T loops).
Source: RNAcentral
GUCACUUUGGCGGAGUGGUUAACGCGCUGCCCUGCUAUGUCUCAUAGCAAGUUUAGGCAGUUCCUUCGGGAGCGUAGGUUCGAAUCCUACAGGUGACG